GCCAGACUCCUACGGGAGGCAGCAGUGGGGAAUAUUGCACAAUGGGGGAAACCCUGAUGCAGCGACGCCGCGUGAGCGAUGAAGUAUUUCGGUAUGUAAAGCUCUAUCAGCAGGGAAGAAAAUGACGGUACCUGCAAAGGAAGCACCGGCUAACUCCGUGCCAGCAGCCGCGGUAAUACGGAGGGUGCGAGCGUUAAUCGGAAUUACUGGGCGUAAAGCGCUCGUAGGCGGUAUGUCAAGUCAAGGGUGAAAUCCCCGCGCUCAACGUGGGAACUGCCUUUGAAACUGGCAAACUGGAGUGUGUGAGAGGAUAGUGGAAUUCCAGGUGUAGGAGUGAAAUCCGUAGAUAUCAGGAGGAACACCGGCGGCGAAGGCGGCCUGCUGGACCGUAACUGACGUUGAGGCUCGAAAGCGUGGGGAGCAAACAGGAUUAGAUACCCGGGUA
This 445-nucleotide ribosomal RNA is filed under the name uncultured bacterium. RNAcentral's name for it is "partial 16S ribosomal RNA". It matches the Rfam family "Bacterial small subunit ribosomal RNA", at positions 330 to 792 of the family's 1533-position model. The record is from RNAcentral.